Molecule: microRNA precursor, 56 nt
Filed under: Octopus vulgaris (common octopus)
Lineage: Eukaryota; Metazoa; Mollusca; Cephalopoda; Octopoda; Octopodidae
Description: Ovu-Mir-12573_pre stem-loop
Source: RNAcentral
UGAACAUUCUCUAAGAACACCAUAUUAAAAUGUGGUCUUCUUAGAGAAUGUUCAGC